RNAcentral lists this ribosomal RNA (320 nucleotides) under uncultured eukaryote. Its description in RNAcentral is "partial 18S ribosomal RNA". It matches the Rfam family "Eukaryotic small subunit ribosomal RNA", at positions 1470 to 1796 of the family's 1831-position model. The record is from RNAcentral.
CCCUUAGAUGUUCUGGGCCGCACGCGCGCUACACUGAUACAUGCAACGAGUUUAUAACCUUGAUCUGACGGUCUGGGUAAUCUUCAAACUGUAUCGUGUUAGGGAUCGAUUCUUGCAAUUUUUAAUCGUAAACGAGGAAUUCCUAGUAAACGCAAGUCAUCAGCUUGCAUUGAUUACGUCCCUGCCCUUUGUACACACCGCCCGUCGACUCUACCGAUUGAAUGGUCCGGUGAAAUCUCGGGACGGCGGCUUGGUCGCUUGCGUCCGACUGCUGAAACUUGAUUAAACCAUAUCAUUUAGAGGAAGGUGAAGUCGUAACA